UAGAUGCAGUUUUGCAUAUAGACCUUAUCGAAGUGCUAAAGAUGCCUGUCAAUAUAUUUGAUUUCUUUUAAGUAGACAGCGAGGCAACCCUAGAUGAAUUUUCGAAAGAGAUAUCAAGGGUUUCUUUGAUAAUAUAUGCCAUGAGUGAAUAUUAGAAAAUAUUCCUAUGGAUAAAAAGAUAUUGUCAAAAAUGUUAAAAGCUGGCGUUAUGAAUGAAGGCAGUUAUCAAGAUACUGAAGAAGGUAUUCCACAGGGUGGUGUAAUAUCUCCUAUUAUAGCUAAUUUAUGCCUUGAUGGUUUAGAUAAAACUAUAAAAAGGGCGUCUAAUAAUAAAGCAACUCUUGUGAGAUAUGCGGAUGAUUUCAUUAUAGUGUCCCAGAACUAUGAUAUUUUAGAUAAGUUAAUUCUAGAUGUUAACAAAUUUCUAAAAAUAAGAGGUUUAGAAUUAAAUAUGGAAAAAAGUAAAAUCACUAAAAUUGAAAAUGGAUUUGAUUUUGUAGGUUUCCACUUUAGGGAAUUCUCGGAUUCUACUCGAGAAAUCGGGGAAAAGAAAGGGAUUUUUCUAUACAAACCUACAAAAGAAAGCUUACAAAAAGUAAAAGCUAAAAUAAAACUUUGUGUCAAAGAACAUUCGCAACUUCCUCUGUGAAUGCUUUUCUCAAAACUAAAUCCAAUAUUAAGGGGCUGAGCAAAUUAUUACUCGUCUAGUACUGCAAAGUUAGCUUAUACCCGAAUAAGUAAAUACGUUUUUGAUUCCAUUCAUCGCAUGAUAAAAAUUAAGCAUCCAAAGCUUAAUGCUAAAGCGCUUAAAUCCAAAUUUUAUCACAAAGUGAAUAAUAGAGAUUGAUUAAUGUCUACUAGCACUGAAUUUAAAAGAUUUAAGAAAAUUAAUUUGUUUCAAAUAUCCGACACUCCUAUUAAAAGAACUACUAUGAUAAAACUUGACGCUAAUUCCUAUUUGGGUGAGUUUGAGGAGUAUUUUAAUAAAAGAUCUUUGAAUAUGUGUUUUAAUCAGCAAACGAAUAAUAUUCGAUUAAAGCUGGCAAAAAGACAAAAAGGUAUGUGCCCUAUAUGUAAAGAAUCUUUAAAUAGUCAAUAUGGAGAUAUAUUGUACGAAUUAGAAAUUCACCAUAUCAUACCUGUGGUGAGUGGAGGUAAAAAUAUAUUAAAAAAUAUGACUCUUCUUCAUAAAACGUGUCAUCGCGACAGAGCUGCGUUAGAAAACUUUGACUUAAGGAACUCGGCAAAUUUGCUCCGUACGUUCGCAACAAGGAGUACCUUAAAGGAUUCAAAAAUUAGGGGUAGCGACUGUUUAACAAAAACUCAAAACUUUGCAAAUUCGAAAGAAGACGUAUAAGGUUUGACGCCUGCCCAGUGCUUGAAAGCGAAAAAUACACGUUAACGCUUGUAUCAUAAACUCAAGUAAACGGCGGUCUUAACUAUAAGGAUCCUCAGGUAGCGAAAUUCCUUGGCGGGUAAAUUCCGUCCUGCAUGAAUGGCGUCACGACUACCCCACUGUCUCUAGUAUAAACUCAGCGAAAUUACAUUGUCUGUGAAAAUGCAGACAUCCUACAACAAGACGGAAAGACCCUAUGAUUCUUAACUAUAAUUUUACGUCGCAAUAAUUUUGUGUACAGUACAGUAAAAGUAGGAGUAUACUUAUACAAUUUUGAAAAACUACUCUGUACAUAAGAAAUUGCUUACUGAAGAGAAAAUAUGUAAAAGUGGUAGUUUACUUGGGACGAGGACCUCCUAAACUGUAACGGAGGUGCACAAAAGUAAAUUUUAAUUAGUUUUUUGUAUUAAUAAAAUAUGUAAUGGUAAAAAUUUGCUUGACGGUAAGAGUUACAACUCAAACCGGGACGAAAGUCGGUCAUAAUGAUCCGGCAGUAAUGUAUGGAAAUACUGUCGCUUAUCGGAAAAAAGAAACUCUAGGGAUAACAGAUUUAUCAUGGCUGAGAGUUCUUAUCGACGCCAUGGUUUGAUACCUCGAUGUCGGCUCAUCUUUUCCUGGAGCUGUAACAGGUUCCAAGGGUAUGGUUGUUCGCCAAAUAAUAAGAUACGUGAGCUGGGUUCAGAACGUCGUGAGACAGUUCGGUCCCUAUCUGUUGUGGGUAAGAAAAAACUAGAUUUAUCUUUAGUACGAGAGGAUUAAGAUAUAUUAACCAAUAGUGUAUCGGUUGUAUUGUUUCUUGCAUUGCCGAGUAGCCACGUUAACAUUAUAUAAGUGCUGACAGCUUAAAAGCACAAAAAUAAUCUUUAUUUUUUCAAGAACUUUCUAGAAGAUUACUAGAUAGAUCGGUUUAUUAUUUAAUACUUGUAAAAGUAAGUAAAUAAAUACGAAAAGUUCAUUAUAAUUUGUGUU
This 2365-nucleotide ribosomal RNA is filed under the name Pyropia haitanensis. RNAcentral's name for it is "bacterial LSU rRNA". The stretch from base 1112 to 2365 matches the Rfam family "Bacterial large subunit ribosomal RNA". Lineage: Eukaryota; Rhodophyta; Bangiophyceae; Bangiales; Bangiaceae. The record is from RNAcentral.